This 163-nucleotide ribosomal RNA is filed under the name Bupleurum dumosum. Its description in RNAcentral is "5.8S ribosomal RNA". It matches the Rfam family "5.8S ribosomal RNA". From Rfam's summary of the family: 5.8S ribosomal RNA (5.8S rRNA) is a component of the large subunit of the eukaryotic ribosome. It is transcribed by RNA polymerase I as part of the 45S precursor that also contains 18S and 28S rRNA. Lineage: Eukaryota; Viridiplantae; Streptophyta; Magnoliopsida; Apiales; Apiaceae. The record is from RNAcentral.
AAACGACUCUCGGCAACGGAUAUCCCGGCUCUCGCAUCGAUGAAGAACGUAGCGAAAUGCGAUACUUGGUGUGAAUUGCAGAAUCCCGUGAGCCAUCGAGUUUUUGAACGCAAGUUGCGCCCGAUGCCAUUAGGCUGAGGGCACGUCUGCCUGGGUGUCACGU